GAAGCCAGAUGGCUACGAAAUUGCGUUAAUUAAUUCACAUGCAAGUUUAAUCCUUUACCAGUAUAGUAUGUUAUAUUUGUCUUGUUUAACGUAGACAUGAAAUGUUUAAUACCUUGGAUUUUAAAUGUUUAUUCAGUCUAAUUUCUUUAAAUUGAAAGUGAUGACAAAGGAGAGCACAAUGUCAAGACUAAACCAUACUAUUAAUAACUGUCUAUAUGACAAGCAUGAAUACACAAAUGCACACACAUCACAAACCAGGCAGAAAUCUGGAUAGCCUGUCAAAAGGUAGGUUCCCUUGAGACUUGUUUAAUACAAGCCCAACAGAUGCCCUGCAGCCUGCACAUCGCAGCCACAUACGCCCCAUACCCUGCAGAUAUCAAUUGCGAGAAGAAUGUGGUUGGUGCCUUCACAGAGGUUGAAGGCCCUGCCCAUCCAGCCAUGCCUAUGUAAACAGGCUGUCAUAUGGUAAGUAUUCACACUAUGAAUUAUGAAUAAAAGUUCGGCUUGUGAGGUUGCUCACGUUGCUUCCGUCCCACAGAUCCAAUGUAUGAAGGCAACCUGGAACACUCCCAACUGUGCAAAGGUACAAGGUUUGCCUGUGACUUAUCCUUCAUGGUUUUCCAAAUGUAAUAAAUUACUCAUAAUGUAUGCACCUUGGUAAAGCCACUGGUAAGUGAAGGCCUCCUCACUCCCAUGUCGGUCAUGCAGGGUUGUUUGACCAUACCUCACCCCUCUGGUCAGUAUGGGGUUGAUGAAGUUGGGGGCAUCCACAACCGGUUAAGAUAACACUCGCCACCAAUGUAAGCUGUGCUUUAGAAUCUAACUUAGGUUGUUAGCGACAGUUGCCAAACCAUUGUGGCACCAGUGAAUUUCUGCACGUUACUUUGUCUCAGCAAGAGCGAUGAAUGCACACCCCUGUAUUCAAGUGAACACAUGUUUUCCUAUGCAAAGGAUUUCACAUUAACACCUAACAUUUUUCUAAGGAAUAAACGAGACCUGUUGUGUUAUGGAACUGUGGUUCGUGUCGGUAUGAAUGGCAACCUGGAGGUAAAUUAUGGAACAUCGGAGUGGGGAGAGCAGCAUCAUACAUGGUUGGAACAUCAUUUGGCAUGAGAUUCAGUCAUGUGGGAAAGUCAUCUAAUCAAAAUCCUUCCACAAAUGGAACUAUAUGUACUGUAUAUAAAUAUCCUCGACCACUGAAAUUUACCUUUCCAUCAUGUUCCAUUGCAUUCUGGGAGACAGCUUCUUGUGACUGCCAAUCAGAGGUUCUUCUUGCCAUGGCUUACAUCAGAAUACAAAUGAUGACUUUGCCUCUCGGUAUGAUUUGAUAUGCACAUCUCUGCCUAAAUUCUAUUCAUCGGAUAUGACUGGAAAAUCCUAGCAAUGAGAGAUUGAGUGACCUUUUUCUUAUAAAUUAUUCAUCCCCUUAGUAUACACAAGUUGUAAUUACAGACUUAAGUAUUGCGUGCAAGCGAUUUUAUUGCUGCUCUGAAGGUUAUUAUAAAGUAUUAUUAUUAAGAUCUUGCCAUUUUUGUGACGUAAUUAAGUCUUUAUUAUGAAAUACCUUUUAAAUUUAGUUCCUUGAAUAUGGUGAUAUCAACGUGCUUUUCAUUUAAAUAUAUUAAUGGAUAACUUGUUUUAAACAUGUUAACAAGGUAGGUGGUAUAAAAACGUGUUUUAUGAAAAUACAGUUAUAAGAAAUGACAGUUGUCUUUAAUCACCAUUGUUUUUUCUUACACACUAUUAAUAAUGCAUAGAUUCAGGACAGUCAUAAAUGGUUGUUAACAUACUCUUUUAUUUAAUGAACAGAACUACAAUCCCCCAUCGUUCAUAAAAGCAAAAGGAACAAAGUGAUCGAGACUUGUUUUUAUUUUAUUUUAUUCCCUGAAACAGGUCCAAUGACACCAAAGAGACCAUUACAAAGUACACAACAUGACAUGUUGUUAAUUGUAGAAAUUAACUGUUUUAUUACCUAGACACACCUCUUCAACACCUCCACUGAAACUCUUACACAUUAAUGCAACCAAAUUACCGGUAAUAUUAUGUUCCGACUAGGUAAUCCUAUUGCUAAAGCGCUCAACUCAUAAUUGUAAGGUCGUGAUUUCAAAUCCCGGUCAACGCUCGACUCACCUUGUCAUAGCUCAGAAAUGAGUCUGACUUUAUCCACCACUUUGCGGGUGGUCAACAGUGAAUGAGUGGCUUCAGGCACAAGAAUGUGGAAUUUACGCAACUGUAUUGGAAGCGCUAGUGAAGAUUAGUGCUGUCCCAUCGCUCGUUUGAUCAUAGAUAAACGAAAGCACUGCACGUAUACAUUACAGUCUUAUCAUUUGAUCACUUGCAUUUUAUGCGCGAAAACAUAUUUUCUAUAAGUAAAUUAAAGCAAUUGCAUAGUUUGGCAAUUGCUACCAUUUUGACAUGCUGGCUGCAACACUUGAAAUGCACGUUUUCAUUUUCAUAAGAACCGUCCAUGGUAAUAGUGAUCGAUUGCAGGCUUUAAUCCUCCAGUGUGUUUUUGUUCUGAACGUUGUUCGGCGUGCUGUCUGACGUUUUCACUGCAUGCUCGUUUGCAGAUAUAUCACAUUAUCCAUGAUUGUGGCUGCCCUUGUACAACUGCAUAUCAGCAGAACGACAAUGUUUUUUUGUUUUCUCCUCUGAGGGUGUAAAGACAGAUUCGAUUAUCAACGAACGAAUAAAGCUCCCGCAUGUUGGCAAUUGUAUGAAUUAUGACAAUGUUUACAAAUGGGUGGAAAGGCUGCAGUCAGAUAGUGAACAGGAUUGACAUUAAGAAUAAUGUAGUAGGCCAGUUGAUGCUUAAACUCCAGUCAAUCUCCCUCAUGUUGGAAGUUUAUAUUGGAUGAUAGAUAAGUAGGAAUAUGCACAUAGUAGUGGCUAUAGGUUUAUGUGCAGGAACAGUUCAUUCAACAAUCCAUGACGAGUUGAAUUUUUUUUAUAAAGAGUGUGCCCGUUGUGUGCUAUAAAUAUUAACAGAAGAUCAUAAAUUAAACAUAAUUUACAUUUGUCAUGCCUUUUCCACCAGAUGUCUUACAUGAUAGCAAUGCAUUUUCGUUUUGCGUCAUCACUGCCAUUGAAUUUUGGACCCAUUAUUUUGAGCUUGGAGUAUAGGCCCCAGAGAGCUCAACGGACACACCAAGGCUCUCCAUUCAAGGAAAAAAAAAUCAAGUCUCCCGAACCUUCUGCUGCAAAGACAACGGCGCGACUCGCAUAACGGCUCGCGGAGCCGUCACGCUGCAGCCAAAGCGCGCGUUAACUCCAACUUGUCCUGCUUAUCGGGACCUAAAAGAAGCAGGCAGUGCAAGCCGACAACAGAUCAGAGAGCUAUCCAACACGACGGUAAAAACCUUCGCAGCAAUAUAAUACAUAUAUAAGCCGGAUAGGUCACAUAUAUUCAUUGCAGUCUUAUUUAUCUGCCUUGCAUACGUUUGAAAGUGUAUGUUCUUAUUGGCUGAAGAGAUAUGCAGCCUUCGGGGUUGUACUCUCGUUUAAGUUUAGGACAGGGAUAGAGUUUAUUAAGAAGACCGACAGUUUAAUCAGUGUUGAAAUCAUGAGUUUAAAUCCCGGUUAGAGUUAACCCAUCAUUUACUUUACUCUGGGCUUGAUAAAAUGAACAGCACUUGACUGUAGGAAGACUGCUGCGGUCUCUCUAUAGAUUUACUACAGACCUCGCGAUUGAAAAGUGACAUUUUCCACCAGUGAGUCACGACCAUCAGCAGGGAUGAAUGCAAUCCUCCCUUUCUUGUUUGCGCACGGGCACGCUUUACCUUUAAAACAUGAAGUAUGACAUUAUCAGAUAUGAAAUGUCUUAUAUACAUCACUAACGAUGGGUGUUAGUAUCCCAGAUGUAUGCAAAUUCCUGCAACAGAUUUGCACAAAGGUGGUUUGUUUUGUAAACAACAAUAUAUGUUAAAACAGUAUCCACCGUUCAGCAAUAAUAUUUUUUUGUUAUGCCAUUUCAAUUAUUUACACUCCACUGGUUACAAUGGCCAUUUGGCAGGCACUGUAUUCAAGCAAUUUAAUUAGUUUUUAUUCACCAUGGAAUGACGUGCAAUGCGCAAACACAUUAUGCUUGAUGAAUAUACAUAAAACGUUCAAUAUGGCUACUGUCAUUAGAUACGCCGAUCAAGAGAGCCGUUCACAAAUGUUGGCCUAUGGAUGUUGCCAAAUUAGAUUGGAAAUUCAAAGGAGUUCAGUUUCAUACACAUUUUGAUAGCCUUGUCGACCAUUAAAUAAUGUAACUAAUUAAAUAAUAUUCUCCAGAUGAUGGUGCAAAUGUAGUACUGUAUUUCACAUUAAAAUAUACCAGAUUGGUGUAAAUGUGAGUGUUUGUUGCAUUUAAGUCUCGAUUACUAUGGGUUGACAUAAUUUUCAAAGGUAAGAUAGAUUAUUUUAAUUGAACAGCGAGUGGUUUACAACUGAAAGUCUGCGAGUUAAAAUCCCGGUUGGCUGAUAAAAUAGGUACAAUUUUGUUGGAAAGUCAACAGUGAUUGUCCUACGCAGAGACUUACCCCCGUCAUAGGAAUGUGAAUUCCAACCAUCGAAUAAGAGUUAUAAACAGAAGAUGAGCACCGCCGUAAUGCUAAUUGGAGCAAGAAAUAACUUUGACUAAGAUUAAUAUGAAUUAAAUAUUUGUCUUUUGUAGAUUACGAAAGGCAUUUGGAUUCUGUGGAAAAUGAUGCGGACAUUCAAGCCUUCACAGAUCAAAGAUUUAGUGAAAUAUAGAUAUAAAUGAUCAAAAGCAUUUAUCGAUAUGGGACUGGUACAGAGAUUGCAUGCAGAAAGUAAGAGCAUGCAAAUUAGAAGAGGAAUCAGACAAGGACAUCGUUUUGACAAGGAUAUUCACAAUGCAUUUAGGAUUAUUUAAAUAACUACAUAAGCAUAAAUGGGGGAAAAGGAUUUAGCAUAUCAAAUGUUCUGACAGCAUAGCCAUUAUAUUAAUCAGUGCAAAUGAAUUGCAGGAAAUUACUCAAGAGCAUAACAAAGAGGGCUGCAAAGUUGGCUCAAGAUAAAUACAAGCAAAGCAGUAGUCAUGUAACAGCAGCUACCCUCAACAAAUGAAUUACAAUGCAGCAGAAUAACUAUGCCUAGGGCUAUUAUUUAAUGUGUAUCGGGAUUAAAUUGAUAAACUAAAGAGGUGAACAAGAGCAUAAUGGAGUACUUUUGGAAAACUGUAAUUGGCAAUGAAAAUCAAUGUACAAAUGUAAGUUUGGAAGAAAGUUUUCAAUUGCCUCUGAUGAUACAUGGAUCAAAACAUGGACAUUGACAAGAAAAUACAACAAAAGCUAAAAAGUAUGCAGAGAAGCAUGAAGAGAUGCAUGACUGAAAUUGCACUGAGGCAGGAAGAGAAAAACAUAUGUAUUUUAGAACAAACCACAAAUUAUAGAUCUUACAUUGACUAUUUGCAAAGUAAGUGGGGAAGGUAUGGUUGCUGAUGGAUGAGACUAGUGAUGGAAUGGAAGCCAAAGCAGAGAAUACACCCGAGAGGAUGAUUUCUGCAGAGAUGGAGUGAUACGAUCAGCUCGUGUGUAGGAGGAAGAUGGAUUGUGGCAUCACGUGGCUAUCGGGUGGCAACAACAUGGGAAGGCCUUCAUCCAAUGACGGAAAGAACACGGCUGAGGAUGAAUAAAAAUAUACAACUUUCUGCAUAAUAAAAUAGCUUUUUCCAACAUUAGCAUAUGCAAAGUUGAAUAUUAAUAACUAGUGGCAUAUUUGCUGUGGAGAUGGAGCAAUGAGAACAAAUUUCAUACGAGGGCACUCUCAGAAAAGGAUUUUAAUUUGUCUGAUUUUGCAGAAAAAAUGCGUUUAAGAAACAACACAUUGGGCAAUUGCAAAGACAGACUUGUGAAAUUACCAAUAUGGGUGUUUUCCAAUGAGACAUUUUGAGGCGCCUUAAGAAAACAUGUAUUUAUUUUUUGGUGUGCGUUUGCUCAUCUCUUAUAGCGUGUUAUAAGCGAAAUGGGGGAAAAAAAUGAUUGUGGAGUGAAAAUUGGUUUUGAAAAUCACACGAAAAAUUGUACCAGCAGAUGGCAGCAUUCAGCUAAUAACACUAACAAAAACAUGUUUUUGUUCCUGGAUAGUAAGUGUUAUUUUCCAAUUGCUUAUGCCUCAAAAGUACAGAAAAUGGCUAUUAUUCCCCACAAACUUUGCUUUUGUGACCAGGACACAAAAGCAAAGUUAAUAAUCCACUCCAUUAAUAACACUCUGUAACAAAUUUAUAAUGUUUUUUGUUCCUGGGUAGUAAGUAUUAUUUCCUCAUUGCUUAUGCCUCAA
This is a non-coding RNA of Petromyzon marinus (sea lamprey), 6285 nucleotides long. The record is from RefSeq and is a predicted model, not a curated record. NCBI's taxonomy places the organism in Eukaryota, Metazoa, Chordata, Hyperoartia, Petromyzontiformes, Petromyzontidae.